UACGUAGGGGGCAAGCGUUAUCCGGAAUUACUGGGUGUAAAGGGUGAGUAGGCGGCAUGGUAAGCCAGAUGUGAAAGCCUUGGGCUUAACCCGAGGAUUGCAUUUGGAACUAUCAAGCUAGAGUACAGGAGAGGAAAGCGGAAUUCCUAGUGUAGCGGUGAAAUGCGUAGAUAUUAGGAAGAACACCAGUGGCAAAGGCGGCUUUCUGGACUGAAACUGACGCUGAGGCACGAAAGCGUGGGGAGCGAACAGG
Molecule: ribosomal RNA, 253 nt
Filed under: uncultured bacterium
Lineage: Bacteria
Description: partial 16S ribosomal RNA
Rfam family: Bacterial small subunit ribosomal RNA
Source: RNAcentral